UACGUAGGGGGCAAGCGUUAUCCGGAUUUACUGGGUGUAAAGGGAGCGUAGGCGGCUUAGUAAGUCAGAAGUGAAAGCCCGCAGCUCAACUGCGGGACUGCUUUUGAAACUGCCAAGCUAGAGUGUCGGAGAGGUAAGUGGAAUUCCUAGUGUAGCGGUGAAAUGCUUAGAUAUCAGGAGGAACAUCGGUGGCGUAAGCGCUUUACUGGGCCGUAAUUGACGCUGAGGAACGAAAGCCAGGGUAGCAAAUGGG
Molecule: ribosomal RNA, 253 nt
Filed under: uncultured Eubacteriales bacterium
Lineage: Bacteria; Bacillati; Bacillota; Clostridia; Eubacteriales
Description: uncultured Clostridiales bacterium partial 16S ribosomal RNA
Rfam family: Bacterial small subunit ribosomal RNA
Source: RNAcentral